Molecule: ribosomal RNA, 1378 nt
Filed under: uncultured bacterium
Lineage: Bacteria
Description: bacterial SSU rRNA
Rfam family: Bacterial small subunit ribosomal RNA
Source: RNAcentral
AGAGUUUGAUCCUGGCUCAGGACGAACGCUGGCGGCGCGCCUAACACAUGCAAGUCGAACGAGAGAUGAGGAGCUUGCUCUUCAAAUCGAGUGGCGAACGGGUGAGUAACGCGUGAGGAACCUGCCUCAAAGAGGGGGACAACAGUUGGAAACGACUGCUAAUACCGCAUAAGCCCACGGCUCGGCAUCGAGCAGAGGGAAAAGGAGCAAUCCGCUUUGAGAUGGCCUCGCGUCCGAUUAGCUAGUUGGUGAGGUAACGGCCCACCAAGGCGACGAUCGGUAGCCGGACUGAGAGGUUGAACGGCCACAUUGGGACUGAGACACGGCCCAGACUCCUACGGGAGGCAGCAGUGGGGAUUAUUGCACAAUGGGGGAAACCCUGAUGCAGCGACGCCGCGUGGAGGAAGAAGGUCUUCGGAUUGUAAACUCCUGUUGUUGAGGAAGAUAAUGACGGUACUCAACAAGGAAGUGACGGCUAACUACGUGCCAGCAGCCGCGGUAAAACGUAGGUCACAAGCGUUGUCCGGAAUUACUGGGUGUAAAGGGAGCGCAGGCGGGAGAACAAGUUGGAAGUGAAAUCCAUGGGCUCAACCCAUGAACUGCUUUCAAAACUGUUUUUCUUGAGUAGUGCAGAGGUAGGCGGAAUUCCCGGUGUAGCGGUGGAAUGCGUAGAUAUCGGGAGGAACACCAGUGGCGAAGGCGGCCUACUGGGCACCAACUGACACUGAGGCACGAAAGCGUGGGGAGCAAACAGGAUUAGAUACCUCUGUAGUCCUGGCAGUAAACGGUGCACGCUUGGUGUGCGGGGAAUCGACCCCCUGCGUGCCGGAGCUAACGCGUUAAGCGUGCCGCCUGGGGAGUACGGUCGCAAGAUUAAAACUCAAAGAAAUUGACGGGGACCCGCACAAGCGGUGGAGUAUGUGGCUUAAUUCGAUGCAACGCGAAGAACCUUACCUGGGCUUGACAUGUAAUGAACAACAUGUGAAAGCGUGCGACUCUUCGGAGGCGUUACACAGGUGCUGCAUGGCCGUCGUCAGCUCGUGUCGUGAGAUGUUUGGUUAAGUCCAGCAACGAGCGCAACCCCUGUUGCCAGUUACCAUCGAGUAAUGUCGGGGACUCUGGCGAGACUGCCCAGAUCAACUGGGAGGAAGGUGGGGACGACGUCAGGUCAGUAUGGCCCUUAUGCCCAGGGCUGCACACGUACUACAAUGCCCAGUACAGAGGGGGCCGAAGCCGCGAGGCGGAGGAAAUCCUGAAAACUGGGCCCAGUUCGGACUGUAGGCUGCAACCCGCCUACACGAAGCCGGAAUCGCUAGUAAUGGCGCAUCAGCUACGGCGCCGUGAAUACGUUCCCGGGUCUUGCACUCACCGCCCGUCA